GCUUCCAUGGCUCAGUUGGUAGAGCGACGCAUUCGUAAUGCGUAGGUCAAGGGUUCGAGUCCCUUUGGGAGCU
Molecule: transfer RNA, 73 nt
Filed under: Lachnospiraceae bacterium
Lineage: Bacteria; Bacillati; Bacillota; Clostridia; Lachnospirales; Lachnospiraceae
Also listed under: 2 other names
Description: tRNA-Thr
Rfam family: tRNA
About the family: Transfer RNA (tRNA) molecules are approximately 80 nucleotides in length.
Source: RNAcentral